Molecule: ribosomal RNA, 504 nt
Filed under: uncultured bacterium
Lineage: Bacteria
Description: partial 16S ribosomal RNA
Rfam family: Bacterial small subunit ribosomal RNA
Source: RNAcentral
AUUGAACGCUGGCGGCACGCCUAACACAUGCAAGUCGAGCGGCAGCGAGAUUAGUAGCACUACUAAUUGUCGGCGAGCGGCGGAAGGGUGAGUAAUACGUAAGAAUCUGCCGUCAAGCGGGGGAUAACUAAUGGAAACGUUAGCUAAUACAGCAUAAUCUCGAGAGAGAAAAGGUGCCAGUAAGGGUGUUACUUGAGGCGGAGCUUGCGUCUGAUUAGCUAGUGGGUGGGGUAAGAGCCUACCAAGGCGAUGAUCAGUAACUGGUCUGAGAGGACGACCAGACACACUGGGACGGAGACACGGCCCAGACUCCUACGGGAGGCAGCAGUGGGGAAUAUUGGACAAUGGGGGAAACCCUGAUCCAGCGAUGCCGCGUGAGUGAAGAAGGCCUUCGGGUCGUAAAGCUCUUUAGGUUGGGAAGAAGAAUGUAGGUUGAAUACUCCUAUGUUUUGACGGUACCGACAGAAUAAGCACCGGCAAACUCUGUGCCAGCAGCCGCGGUAA